UACGGACGAGUGGCCAAGGUACCUAUUAU
RNAcentral lists this non-coding RNA (29 nucleotides) under Rattus norvegicus (Norway rat). Lineage: Eukaryota; Metazoa; Chordata; Mammalia; Rodentia; Muridae. The record is from RNAcentral.